Molecule: transfer RNA, 75 nt
Rfam family: tRNA
About the family: Transfer RNA (tRNA) molecules are approximately 80 nucleotides in length. Their secondary structure includes four short double-helical elements and three loops (D, anti-codon, and T loops).
UGGGCCGUAGCCAAGCGGUAAGGCAACGGACUUUGACUCCGUCAUUCGUUGGUUCGAAUCCACCCGGCCCAGCCA